RNAcentral lists this small RNA (27 nucleotides) under Bombyx mori (domestic silkworm). Its description in RNAcentral is "ovarian small RNA-23484". Lineage: Eukaryota; Metazoa; Arthropoda; Insecta; Lepidoptera; Bombycidae. The record is from RNAcentral.
UAUCAAUCUUCAUGAUGCGUCGCACAG